RNAcentral lists this ribosomal RNA (1343 nucleotides) under uncultured bacterium. RNAcentral describes it as "16S ribosomal RNA". It matches the Rfam family "Bacterial small subunit ribosomal RNA", at positions 28 to 1378 of the family's 1533-position model. The record is from RNAcentral.
GACGAACGCUGGCGGCGUGCUUAACACAUGCAAGUCGAACGGAAAGGCCCUGCUUUUGUGGGGUGCUCGAGUGGCGAACGGGUGAGUAACACGUGAGUAACCUGCCCUUGACUUUGGGAUAACUUCAGGAAACUGGGGCUAAUACCGGAUAGGAGCUCCUGCUGCACGGUGGGGGUUGGAAAGUUUCGGCGGUUGGGGAUGGACUCGCGGCUUAUCAGCUUGUUGGUGGGGUAGUGGCUUACCAAGGCUUUGACGGGUAGCCGGCCUGAGAGGGUGACCGGCCACAUUGGGACUGAGAUACGGCCCAGACUCCUACGGGAGGCAGCAGUGGGGAAUAUUGCACAAUGGGCGGAAGCCUGAUGCAGCAACGCCGCGUGCGGGAUGACGGCCUUCGGGUUGUAAACCGCUUUCGCCUGUGACGAAGCGUGAGUGACGGUAAUGGGUAAAGAAGCACCGGCUAACUACGUGCCAGCAGCCGCGGUGAUACGUAGGGUGCGAGCGUUGUCCGGAUUUAUUGGGCGUAAAGGGCUCGUAGGUGGUUGAUCGCGUCGGAAGUGUAAUCUUGGGGCUUAACCCUGAGCGUGCUUUCGAUACGGGUUGACUUGAGGAAGGUAGGGGAGAAUGGAAUUCCUGGUGGAGCGGUGGAAUGCGCAGAUAUCAGGAGGAACACCAGUGGCGAAGGCGGUUCUCUGGGCCUUUCCUGACGCUGAGGAGCGAAAGCGUGGGGAGCGAACAGGCUUAGAUACCCUGGUAGUCCACGCUGUAAACGGUGGGUACUAGGUGUGGGGUCCAUUCCACGGGUUCCGUGCCGUAGCUAACGCUUUAAGUACCCCGCCUGGGGAGUACGGCCGCAAGGCUAAAACUCAAAGGAAUUGACGGGGCCCCGCACAAGCGGCGGAGCAUGCGGAUUAAUUCGAUGCAACGCGUAGAACCUUACCUGGGUUUGACAUGGAUCGGGAGUGCUCAGAGAUGGGUGUGCCUCUUUUGGGGUCGGUUCACAGGUGGUGCAUGGCUGUCGUCAGCUCGUGUCGUGAGAUGUUGGGUUAAGUCCCGCAACGAGCGCAACCCUUGUUCACUGUUGCCAGCACGUUAUGGUGGGGACUCAGUGGAGACCGCCGGGGUCAACUCGGAGGAAGGUGGGGAUGACGUCAAGUCAUCAUGCCCCUUAUGUCCAGGGCUUCACGCAUGCUACAAUGGCUGGUACAGAGAGUGGCGAGCCUGUGAGGGUGAGCGAAUCUCGGAAAGCCGGUCUCAGUUCGGAUUGGGGUCUGCAACUCGACCUCAUGAAGUCGGAGUCGCUAGUAAUCGCAGAUCAGCAACGCUGCGGUGAAUACAUUCCCGGG